UACGAGGGGGGCGAGCGUUGUUCGGAAUUAUUGGGCGUAAAGGGUGCGUAGGCGGUUCGGUAAGUCUCAUGUGAAAUCUACAGGCUCAACUUGUAGUCUGCAUGAGAAACUGCCGGGCUUGAGUAUGGGAGAGGUGAGUGGAAUUCCUGGUGUAGCGGUGAAAUGCGUAGAUAUCAGGAGGAACACCUGUGGCGAAAGCGGCUCACUGGACCAUAACUGACGCUGAUGCACGAAAGCUAGGGGAGCAAACAGG
This 253-nucleotide ribosomal RNA is filed under the name uncultured bacterium. RNAcentral describes it as "partial 16S ribosomal RNA". It matches the Rfam family "Bacterial small subunit ribosomal RNA", at positions 524 to 776 of the family's 1533-position model. The record is from RNAcentral.